GAUGAACGCUGGCGGCGUGCCUAAUACAUGCAAGUCGAGCGAACGGACGAGACGCUUGCUUCUCUGAUGUUAGCGGCGGACGGGUGAGUAACACGUGGAUAACCUACCUAUAAGACUGGGAUACUUCGGGAAACCGGACCUAAUACCGGUUAUUAUUUUGAACCGCAUGGUUCAAAAGUGAAAGACGGUCUUGCUGUCACUUCUAGAUGGAUCCGCGCUGCAUUAGCUAGUUGGUAAGGUAACGGCUUACCAAGGCAACGAUGCAUAGCCGACCUGAGAGGGUGAACGUCCACACUGGAACUGAACAACGGUCCAGACUCCUACGGGAGGCAGCAGUAGGGAAUCUGCCGCGAUGUGCGAAAGCCUGACGGAGCAAUGCCGCGUGAGUGAUGAAGGUCUUCGGAUCGUAAAACUCUGUUAUUAGGGAAGAACAUAUGUGUAAGUAACUGUGCACAGCUUGACGGUACCUAAUCAGAAAGCCACGGCGAAAUACGUG
RNAcentral lists this ribosomal RNA (496 nucleotides) under uncultured bacterium. RNAcentral's name for it is "partial 16S ribosomal RNA". It matches the Rfam family "Bacterial small subunit ribosomal RNA", at positions 28 to 507 of the family's 1533-position model. The record is from RNAcentral.